RNAcentral lists this long non-coding RNA (553 nucleotides) under Malus domestica (apple). Its description in RNAcentral is "long non-coding RNA (MDOM_LNC014083)". Lineage: Eukaryota; Viridiplantae; Streptophyta; Magnoliopsida; Rosales; Rosaceae. The record is from RNAcentral.
ACUGCUCUCUCCCAGGGAAGAUAAUUGAACUCAUUUAGUAAGACGGAACUGAGACGUUGAUUUGGAUUGACAUCAACAUCUAAAUGAAAUGAAGAUGGCGCAGCAUGCGAGCUAACUUAUUCGCCAUGCACUGAACUAUCUUCAACCAUGAUAGAGAAUCAGGAAAAACUCACAGAUCUCUCAAGAAACUACUCAAAAAUAGGUCGAUUAAGAUCACUGCUCUGAUACCAUAUUGGAAUUUGAAGGUGUACUUUUUAUUAUGAAGGAAUAAAGUACAAAGAUAGCUCAUAUAAAUAAGCGUAGAAAGAAGAAAGAAACAAGAAACACAAAAACAAUUUUUCCUUGAUUUAUGCCUAAUCACCUAACAACUAAAGCAAAAUCAGCAAUCCCUUGAAUUAAGGAGAAUGACAGCCAUACUUUAGUGAGAAUGACAGCCAUACUUUAGAUGUUAGACAGCACCCUCAUGUAUACACCCAUGCUACCUACCAACUAGGGUAAGAGACAAAUAACUAGACUAGAUCUUCUUCCAAAACCAUGGGAUAAGUAAAAUGUG